RNAcentral lists this long non-coding RNA (564 nucleotides) under Lathyrus oleraceus (garden pea). Its description in RNAcentral is "Pisum sativum (pea) long non-coding RNA (PSAT_LNC030936)". The record is from RNAcentral. Lineage: Eukaryota; Viridiplantae; Streptophyta; Magnoliopsida; Fabales; Fabaceae.
UCAUUUCUCACUAACUGAAUCUAACAUUACCAAAACUACAACUAUUUCAACUAACUCUGUAAAAGCCUAACAGAAUCAACAGAAUUGAAAACUAACUGAAAUGCUAACAGAAACUUACAUUUGCAACUAAUUCUGAAUUACACAUGAUUUUGAAGGUAAUGUGACGUUCAUUUAUAACUGAAUCUGAAGCUCUAUAAAUUCCAAAACCCUUCACCAAUCCAAGGGGAGUUUUUGUUUCCAUCUCCACCAUUCACCAUUUCACAUACCAGUAAAUCUGUAAACUCUCUGGACUACAAACAUUCAAUCUGGAUUCUCUCAGUCUCACCUUCAUCAGAUUCACACGCUCCAUUCAUGGAGUGAGAACCGAAAACCACAGGAUGCGAAUCACAAAUCCAUAGAGCAUCACUCUCCUAAUCAUUUAUCCCCCUCACUCCGAAGCCUCACAGCAAAACAAUAUCUAGGCUCAGAGAAGCAAUCAAAAAAAGAGGAGGAGCAUUCAAGAGAAGAAGAAGAGCGAAACAAAGUGUAGAAGAGUUACUUGUAAAGCAGCUAAUCCAUCAAAAC